RNAcentral lists this unclassified non-coding RNA (251 nucleotides) under plant metagenome. RNAcentral describes it as "partial contains small subunit ribosomal RNA, internal transcribed spacer 1, and 5.8S ribosomal RNA". The stretch from base 1 to 54 matches the Rfam family "Eukaryotic small subunit ribosomal RNA", at positions 1778 to 1831 of the family's 1831-position model. The record is from RNAcentral.
GUAAGUAAAAGUCGUAACAAGGUCUCCGUAGGUGAACCUGCGGAGGGAUCAUUACAGAGUUCAUGCCCUACCGGGUAGAUCUCCCACCCUAUGUUAUUAUUACUUUGUUGCUUUGGCGGGCCGUUAGGCUCCGGCCCGACUACCGGCCCCGGCUGGUAAGCGCCCGCCAGAGGACCCAAAACCCUGAAUAUUAGUGUCGUCUGAGUACUAUAUAAUAGUUAAAACUUUCAACAACGGAUCUCUUGGUUCUG